Molecule: ribosomal RNA, 425 nt
Filed under: uncultured bacterium
Lineage: Bacteria
Description: partial 16S ribosomal RNA
Rfam family: Bacterial small subunit ribosomal RNA
Source: RNAcentral
GCGGGGAAUAUUGGACAAUGGGCGAAAGCCUGAUCCAGCAAUGCCGCGUGAGUGAUGAAGGCCCUAGGGUUGUAAAGCUCUUUUACCAGGGAUGAUAAUGACAGUACCUGGAGAAUAAGCUCCGGCUAACUCCGAUCCAGCAGCCGCGGUAAUACGGAGGGAGCUAGCGUUGUUCGGAAUUACUGGGCGUAAAGCGCGCGUAGGCGGUUUCUUAAGUCAGAGGUGAAAGCCCGGGGCUCAACCCCGGAAUAGCCGUUGAAACUGGAAAACUUGAAUCUUGGAGAGGUCAGUGGAAUUCCGAAUGUAGAGGUGAAAUUCGUAGAUAUUCGGAAGAACACCAGUAGCGAAGGCGACUGACUGGACAAGUAUUGACGCUGAGGUGCGAAAGCGUGGGGAGCAAACAGGAUUAGAUACCCGGGUAGUCC